This 217-nucleotide long non-coding RNA is filed under the name Prunus persica (peach). RNAcentral describes it as "long non-coding RNA (PPER_LNC007905)". The record is from RNAcentral. Lineage: Eukaryota; Viridiplantae; Streptophyta; Magnoliopsida; Rosales; Rosaceae.
GGUUCGUCAGGAAGGUAGACAAUUACCACAUAAUAAGCAAGCAAGGCCUCAUCCUCGGGUAGCAUUCAUCGGUGGUAGGGUGGCGUCCCUGAAAUAAUAACUCUUUAAUAGGCACCGCCUUGUCGAAGAAAGAUAUCUAUUGAUUGUUAUGACCACGAAGAAACGACGAAUCCCAUCUACGGAUAUAUAAGAGCCAAACAGCGUUCGCCAGUUGAAG